CUAGUUGGUGAGGCAACGGCUCACCAAGGCGACGAUCGAUAGCUGGUCUGAGAGGAUGAUCAGCCACAUUGGGACUGAGACACGGCCCAAACUCCUACGGGAGGCAGCAGUGGGGAAUAUUGGACAAUGGGCGCAAGCCUGAUCCAGCCAUGCCGCGUGAGUGAUGACGGCCUUAGGGUUGUAAAGCUCUUUCGCUAGGGACGAUAAUGACGGUACCUAGACAAGAAGCCCCGGCUAACUUCGUGCCAGCAGCCGCGGUAAUACGAAGGGGGCUAGCGUUGUUCAGAAUUACUGGGCGUAAAGCACGUGUAGGCGGGCUUUUAAGUCAGGGGUGAAAUGCCAAGGCUCAACCUUGGAACUGCCUUUGAUACUGGAAGUCUUGAGUCCGGGAGAGGUGAGUGGAACUGCGAGUGUAGAGGUGAAAUUCGUAGAUAUUCGCAAGAACACCAGUGGCGAAGGCGGCUCACUGGCCCGGAACUGACGCUGAGACGCGAAAGCGUGGGGAGCAAACAGGAUUAGAUACCCUGGUAGUCCACGCCGUAAACGAUGAGUGCUAGUUGUCGGCAUGCAUGCAUGUCGGUGACGCAGCUAACGCAUUAAGCACUCCGCCUGGGGAGUACGGUCGCAAGAUUAAAACUCAAAGGAAUUGACG
This 652-nucleotide ribosomal RNA is filed under the name uncultured Alphaproteobacteria bacterium. RNAcentral describes it as "SSU rRNA". It matches the Rfam family "Bacterial small subunit ribosomal RNA", at positions 245 to 915 of the family's 1533-position model. The record is from RNAcentral. Lineage: Bacteria; Pseudomonadati; Pseudomonadota; Alphaproteobacteria.